RNAcentral lists this unclassified non-coding RNA (242 nucleotides) under fungal sp. RNAcentral's name for it is "partial internal transcribed spacer region". The stretch from base 1 to 46 matches the Rfam family "Eukaryotic small subunit ribosomal RNA", at positions 1786 to 1831 of the family's 1831-position model. Lineage: Eukaryota; Fungi. The record is from RNAcentral.
AAGUCGUAACAAGGUCUCCGUUGGUGAACCAGCGGAGGGAUCAUUACAGAGUCGUAAAACACUCCCAAACCACUGUGAACUUACCAUUUGUUGCCUCGGCGGUCCCCUGCCGGAUAGCGAGCUACCCUGUAGCGACCUACCCUGUAGCCCGCCGGUGGACAUCUAAACUCUUGUUAUUCUAUGGAUAUCUGAGCGUCUUAUUUAAUAAGUUAAAACUUUCAACAACGGAUCUCUUGGUUCUG